RNAcentral lists this ribosomal RNA (430 nucleotides) under bacterium. RNAcentral describes it as "partial 16S ribosomal RNA". It matches the Rfam family "Bacterial small subunit ribosomal RNA", at positions 355 to 776 of the family's 1533-position model. The record is from RNAcentral.
UGGGGAAUAUUGGACAAUGGGCGCAAGCCUGAUCCAGCCAUGCCGCGUGUGUGAAGAAGGCCUUUUGGUUGUAAAGCACUUUAAGCGAGGAGGAGGCUACUUGGAUUAAUACUCUAGGAUAGUGGACGUUACUCGCAGAAUAAGCACCGGCUAACUCUGUGCCAGCAGCCGCGGUAAUACAGAGGGUGCGAGCGUUAAUCGGAUUUACUGGGCGUAAAGCGUGCGUAGGCGGCUUUUUAAGUCGGAUGUGAAAUCCCUGAGCUUAACUUAGGAAUUGCAUUCGAUACUGGGAAGCUAGAGUAUGGGAGAGGAUGGUAGAAUUCCAGGUGUAGCGGUGAUAUGCGUAGAGAUCUGGAGGAAUACCGAUGGCGAAGGCAGCCAUCUGGCCUAAUACUGACGCUGAGGUACGAAAGCAUGGGGAGCAAACAGG